UCUUCGGAAAUGAAGAUUUUGUGACUGAGUGGCGGACGGGUGAGUAACGCGUGGGUAACCUGCCUCAUACAGGGGGAUAACAGUUGGAAACGACUGCUAAUACCGCAUAAGCGCACAGGAUCGCAUGAUCCGGUGUGAAAAACUCCGGUGGUAUGAGAUGGACCCGCGUCUGAUUAGCCAGUUGGCAGGGUAACGGCCUACCAAAGCGACGAUCAGUAGCCGACCUGAGAGGGUGACCGGCCACAUUGGGACUGAGACACGGCCCAAACUCCUACGGGAGGCAGCAGUGGGGAAUAUUGCACAAUGGGGGAAACCCUGAUGCAGCGACGCCGCGUGAGCGAAGAAGUAUUUCGGUAUGUAAAGCUCUAUCAGCAGGGAAGAAGAAUGACGGUACCUGACUAAGAAGCACCGGCUAAAUACGUGCCAGCAGCCGCGGUAAUACGUAUGGUGCAAGCGUUAUCCGGAUUUACUGGGUGUAAAGGGAGCGCAGGCGGUGCGGCAAGUCUGAUGUGAAAGCCCGGGGCUCAACCCCGGUACUGCAUUGGAAACUGUCGUACUAGAGUGUCGGAGGGGUAAGUGGAA
This 582-nucleotide ribosomal RNA is filed under the name uncultured Lachnospiraceae bacterium. Its description in RNAcentral is "bacterial SSU rRNA". It matches the Rfam family "Bacterial small subunit ribosomal RNA", at positions 73 to 666 of the family's 1533-position model. Lineage: Bacteria; Bacillati; Bacillota; Clostridia; Lachnospirales; Lachnospiraceae. The record is from RNAcentral.